RNAcentral lists this ribosomal RNA (778 nucleotides) under Streptomyces sp. Its description in RNAcentral is "bacterial SSU rRNA". It matches the Rfam family "Bacterial small subunit ribosomal RNA", at positions 56 to 848 of the family's 1533-position model. Lineage: Bacteria; Bacillati; Actinomycetota; Actinomycetes; Kitasatosporales; Streptomycetaceae. The record is from RNAcentral.
UGCAAGUCGAACGAUGAACCACUUCGGUGGGGAUUAGUGGCGAACGGGUGAGUAACACGUGGGCAAUCUGCCCUGCACUCUGGGACAAGCCCUGGAAACGGGGUCUAAUACCGGAUACUGACCUGCCUGGGCAUCCAGGCGGUUCGAAAGCUCCGGCGGUGCAGGAUGAGCCCGCGGCCUAUCAGCUUGUUGGUGAGGUAAUGGCUCACCAAGGCGACGACGGGUAGCCGGCCUGAGAGGGCGACCGGCCACACUGGGACUGAGACACGGCCCAGACUCCUACGGGAGGCAGCAGUGGGGAAUAUUGCACAAUGGGCGCAAGCCUGAUGCAGCGACGCCGCGUGAGGGAUGACGGCCUUCGGGUUGUAAACCUCUUUCAGCAGGGAAGAAGCGAAAGUGACGGUACCUGCAGAAGAAGCGCCGGCUAACUACGUGCCAGCAGCCGCGGUAAUACGUAGGGCGCAAGCGUUGUCCGGAAUUAUUGGGCGUAAAGAGCUCGUAGGCGGCUUGUCACGUCGGUUGUGAAAGCCCGGGGCUUAACCCCGGGUCUGCAGUCGAUACGGGCAGGCUAGAGUUCGGUAGGGGAGAUCGGAAUUCCUGGUGUAGCGGUGAAAUGCGCAGAUAUCAGGAGGAACACCGGUGGCGAAGGCGGAUCUCUGGGCCGAUACUGACGCUGAGGAGCGAAAGCGUGGGGAGCGAACAGGAUUAGAUACCCUGGUAGUCCACGCCGUAAACGGUGGGCACUAGGUGUGGGCAACAUUCCACGUUGUCCGUGCCG